Molecule: ribosomal RNA, 497 nt
Filed under: uncultured bacterium
Lineage: Bacteria
Description: partial 16S ribosomal RNA
Rfam family: Bacterial small subunit ribosomal RNA
Source: RNAcentral
GAUGAACGCUGGCGGCGUGCCUAAUACAUGCAAGUCGAGCGAACGGACGAGAAGCUUGCUUCUCUGAUGUUAGCGGCGGACGGGUGAGUAACACGUGUAUAACCCACCUAUAAGACUGGGAUCUCCUCGGGAAACCGGAGCUAAUCCGGGAUAAUCUUCUGAACCGUAUGGUUCAAAAGUGAAAGACGGCCUUGCUGUAACUAAUAGAUGCAUCCGAGCUGCUUUAGCUAGUUGGUAGGGUAACGGCUUACCACGGCAACUAUGCGUAGCCGACCGGACAGGGGGAUCGGCCACAUUGGAACUGGGACGCGGUCCAGACGCCUACGGGAGGCAGCAGUAGGGAAUCUGCCGCAAUGGGCGGAAACCUGGCGGAGCGGCGCGGCGUGAGUGGUGAAGGUCUUCGGUGCGUGAUACUCUGUUAUUAGUGAAGAACAGAUGUGUAAUUAGCUGAGCACAGCUUGACGGUACCUAGUCAGAAAGCCACGGCUAACUACGUG